Castor canadensis (American beaver) is the source of this 776-nucleotide non-coding RNA. Lineage: Eukaryota; Metazoa; Chordata; Mammalia; Rodentia; Castoridae. The record is from RefSeq and is a predicted model, not a curated record.
UUACUGUUACUUUACAAUUAUUUCCUAAUGGUGUACCUUAAUGCUGUUGUUUGUUUUGAGACAGGAUCUCAGUAUGUAGCUUAGACUUCCUCAAACAUAAGAUCCUCCUGCCUCCACUUCCUAGUGCUGGAAUUACAGAUAAUGUACCACCUCGUGUGCCUUACAGUUCUUUUUAAAGAGAUUGCUUUCUAAGUAAAAGGUGAAGGAAAGCCCUUAGAACAUUUUUUUAAAAUUAUCAUGAAUGAAAAUCAAUUAUAUUUGCUUUGCAUUUAGCAAAUUAAUUGUUACAUGUUUCAAGCACUGGUUUUUGUUUUGUCUACAUGUUGUUUCAUUGGUAUGAUUAAGUGGAUUUUUCUUAUCUUAAGGUGGGAUCUCAUCGUGUCCGUAUGUCAAGGGGAUUUGAAGCCAAUGCACCUGCUUUUGAUAGGCAUUUUAGAACACUUAAGAAUUUAUAUGGUAAACAAAUAAUAGUAAAUUUGCUUGGCUCUAAGGAAGGUGAACAUAUGCUAAGCAAGGCUUUCCAAAGUCAUUUGAAAGCUUCUGAGCAUGCUUCUGAUAUCCACAUGGUGAAUUUUGACUAUCAUCAAAUGGUUAAAGGAGGAAAGGCAGAAAAGUUACAUAGUAUUCUUAAACCUCAAGUCCAGAAGUUUCUAGAUUAUGGAUUUUUUUAUUUCAAUGGAAGUGAAGUUCAAAGAUGCCAGAGUGGUACCGUUCGGACUAACUGCUUGGAUUGCCUUGAUAGAACAAAUAGUGUGCAGGCGUUCCUAGGCUUAGAG